This 83-nucleotide transfer RNA is filed under the name bacterium. RNAcentral's name for it is "tRNA-Tyr". It matches the Rfam family "tRNA". Rfam says of the family: Transfer RNA (tRNA) molecules are approximately 80 nucleotides in length. Their secondary structure includes four short double-helical elements and three loops (D, anti-codon, and T loops). Further hydrogen bonds mediate the characteristic L-shaped molecular structure. tRNAs have two regions of fundamental functional importance: the anti-codon, which is responsible for specific mRNA codon recognition, and the 3' end, to which the tRNAs corresponding amino acid is attached (by aminoacyl-tRNA synthetases). tRNAs cope with the degeneracy of the genetic code in two manners: having more than one tRNA (with a specific anti-codon) for a particular amino acid; and 'wobble' base-pairing, i.e. permitting non-standard base-pairing at the 3rd anti-codon position. The record is from RNAcentral.
GGGCGGUUACCCAAGCGGUCAACGGGGGCAGACUGUAAAUCUGCUGGCUUCGGCCUUCGGAGGUUCGAAUCCUCCACCGCCCA